GCCUAGGAUAGCUCAGUUGGUAGAGCAUGAGAUGCUUAAUUUCAGGGUUGUGAGUUUGAGCCCCACAUUGGGCA
Molecule: transfer RNA, 74 nt
Filed under: Podarcis lilfordi (Lilford's wall lizard)
Lineage: Eukaryota; Metazoa; Chordata; Lepidosauria; Squamata; Lacertidae
Description: tRNA.Lys
Source: RNAcentral